AUGGCUCAGGAUGAACGCUGGCGGCGUGCCUAACACAUGCAAGUCGACGAAGCACUGUCGAAUGAGGAUUCGUCUGAAUUUGGCUUUGACUUAGUGGCGGACGGGUGAGUAAUGCGUGAGCAACCUGCCUUUCAGAGGGGGACAACAGUUGGAAACGACUGCUAAUACCGCAUGACAUAUUGAGAUCGCAUGGUUUUAAUAUUAAAGAUUUAUCGCUGAAAGAUGGGCUCACGUCUGAUUAGUUAGUUGGCGGGGUAACGGCCCACCAAGACUACGAUCAGUAGCCGGUCUGAGAGGAUGAACGGCCACAUUGGGACUGAGAUACGGCCCAGACUCCUACGGGAGGCAGCAGUGGGGAAUAUUGGGCAAUGGGCGAAAGCCUGACCCAGCAAUGCCGCGUGAAGGAAGAAGGCCUUCGGGUUGUAAACUUCUUUUAUCAGGGACGAAGGAUGUGACGGUACCUGAUGAAUAAGCUCCGGCUAACUACGUG
This 490-nucleotide ribosomal RNA is filed under the name uncultured bacterium. RNAcentral's name for it is "bacterial SSU rRNA". It matches the Rfam family "Bacterial small subunit ribosomal RNA", at positions 19 to 507 of the family's 1533-position model. The record is from RNAcentral.